AUUAGAUACCCCGGUAGUCCCAGCUGUAAACGAUGCGCGUUAGGUGUAUCGGUGACCACGAGUCACCGAGGUGCCGAAGGGAAACCGUGAAACGUGCCGCCUGGGAAGUACGGUCGCAAGGCUGAAACUUAAAGGAAUUGGCGGGGGAGCACCACAACAGGUGGAGCCUGCGGUUUAAUCGGACUCAACGCCGGGAAGCUCACCGGGUAAGACAGCUGAAUGAUAGCCGGGUUGAAGACUCUGCUUGACUAGCUGAGAGGUGGUGCAUGGC
RNAcentral lists this ribosomal RNA (271 nucleotides) under uncultured archaeon. RNAcentral's name for it is "partial 16S ribosomal RNA". It matches the Rfam family "Archaeal small subunit ribosomal RNA", at positions 728 to 998 of the family's 1478-position model. The record is from RNAcentral.